Molecule: long non-coding RNA, 2588 nt
Organism: Gasterosteus aculeatus aculeatus (three-spined stickleback)
Lineage: Eukaryota; Metazoa; Chordata; Actinopteri; Perciformes; Gasterosteidae
Source: Ensembl
UAAUGAACUUGUCCUAUCCUGGUACAUUAUAUACACGUCAGUGAGUGUGGGUGUAGGUGUGUGUUCUGUUUUACCCCAGGAGGACCGCCUGUGUGCUACAUAGUGAUGAAGGACACUUGGUUAUCUCUACCUGGCACCCUUAUCACGUGUGACACCUUUCAACAACCCUCCGUCCCCACCUUUCUGUCCAAUGCGCUCUGAAAAUGGGGGCCAGAGAUAAGGAGCGUGUGUUUGCAUGUCUACGAGUUUGUGUGCACGCAUGGCACAGUGAGUGGGAGACAAGAAAGCAAAUUUGUACAAGUCACAACGGCGCCGGGAGGAAUGUGCAUUCUGUUGUGGUGUAAUUAUGGCCAUAACUACAAGAAGAAGCCCCACAUUAUGAUAAUGGUGGUAUUGCUGUUUCUGAACACUCCCUCCAUCGCUGUAAUGAAGGGUACGAGAUGGAUAAAAGAGCAGGAAGUGGCUAGCUAUCAGGAGUGUGGAUGGACAGAGUUCUGAGCAGAGAGCCAGGCCUUUUGGCCGGUCUCCAGCGGGGACGGUGGGUGUCCCUUUGCCAGCUGGCAGCCUGUCUCUCCCAUCUGUGGAGCCUAAGAGAGUGUGCAGUAAUCUCCCGGAGACAGCGCGCCUCGACCCGGGCCCGAUUUAAAGGGAUACGGCCAGCUGGCCGGGCACGAGCAGGCCUGUACCAGGGAGAGGAGAAGGAAGGGCAGGAGAAGGCCACAGAGAAGGGAGGGGGAUGAGCGGGUGAGCCGCGAUGAAGCAGGUCGGGUGUGAUGGCGAGCGUGAUGCGGGGACCGAGGAUCGGUGGUCAGGGAGCAAUAAAGAGCACUGAUAAGAAUGAUUCAAGUCCGGCUGCCAGCAAAUAAUGGAACAGGCAGAAUGUCAUUUUGCUGCUUAAAUCUACUGUACGGGUACACUGAGGGGCUCGGGGCGCACUGUGCCGCACGCCACGCCACAAGGUGGGAUAAGAAGCAAACAAACAUACAGGCUGCGCUCAGCAACCCCGAUCAGAGUGUCUGCCAGGGUCCUGAUAAGCUGUCAGGCAGGAGAGGACCGUGAGAGGUGGAAGGAGUGGGUGGCGGUUGUGGGUAUGUAUGCCUGUUGACAUUGAAGGACGCGCUCCCUCUCUGAGCGCUAAUGGUCACGAACUUGUCCCACAAUAAUUAUUUUGUUACUUAUCCAUAUUGUCAUCCAUAUUUUUGACGGUUCUACACUACACUGACACCCAAACCUCUUGAAUCAAGACAAACUUUAAUGAGCAUGCAGGUGACACAAUGAGUGGUUCCUCUGUGAGCCUGGAUUUAGCCUCAAUGACGUACUUCAUGCAUGUGUACACACAAUAGCCCCAGAGUGAUGAGCAUCAUGUAGUUUGCCCUCCCGUAUUAUUAUUCUUUUUUUAAUGUUUUGUGGGGAUAAAUCCACAAAUUCUCACCACGUUUUGCACUCUCCACAACCCAAAAAUGUACUUUCAUCUCACCGUAGAACUAUCUUAACACCUGCCUGUCUUUUGAUGGAUGGUCAAUCCAGCUGUCUGCUGAUGAGUACACAUCUGUCCGCCUGUCCAUCUGCCAGCUUUUGGAGCCAAUGUGUGGGGUGGCAUGAGCAACAUUGCUGCCCUGUGAGAAAUAAAGCAUUAAAUACCAACUGAACAGUAUGUUUAUUUGGAGAGGAAACGCUGCCAGCACAAACAACGCAAAGACACAGCUUGCCUCUGCCAUAAGACGACAACUGCUCACUCCAAAGUUGUUUUGUGUGUUUGUGUCUACACUGGGAAGCCUGUAAUCAUAGAUGACCUAGCUUUUGUUCAGUGUGUGUGAACCCCGCUGCUUCACUGUGAGGACAUGGCUUCUGGAGGGCUGCCUGCAGUCUCCAGGGUUAAGCUAGCUGUGGUUGAUCAGUAAAUUACAUUCAGACUGUAAGCAGGCUGCUUGAUAAACCCAGUGGUGGGUCGUCAGGGUCAGCUUAGCCUUCUCUGCUGCCCUAAACAGAAUCACAAAUUUAAACUAUUUCAUCAUUUAAGUUGCAUUACAUGUAUUAUUCCUAUUAUCUGGUUUUCUCAUUGCACGGCUCUUGUCUUCGGCUGUUGCUCUGCUUCCAGCGCAAAAAGAGCUUUUUCAGAUUCAGCCCCCCUGUCUCUAUGUGAAGUAUAUAUUUUUCAACCUAUCCGGUCUUUAGUUUGACCUGUUGGGGGUUUUCUUUGACGUGCCAGUUGCACCUCUGUAGGCUCAUUAGUACUUUGUCUGUAAAUAGGGACCAUGCUUUUGUGUUAUUUGUCCGUAUUGUUUUUAUUAUAUAUUGAAUAUCCCUCUGAUCUAAAUAAUAUUUGAAUGGAACCGUGCUGUUGAGUUUUUUAGUGCUGUAGUUUUGAUGGAUUGUUUUUUCAUGCUUUGUUGCAAAUAAAUGUCACUGGUUCUUGUGAGAUUUCACUUGUCAUCGAGUUAAUUACAUUGAUUUGACUACACGCAUUCAUGUAUCUGCAUUUAGUGUAUUUGUAGGAGUUGAGCUUUAUGUAACAUUUUAUUUCACGUUAAAUAUUGCAGUGUUUUGUGAUUAAGAACCAGAACCUCUAACUGUGGCGUCAUGAUGAG